AUUGAACGCUGGCGGAAGGAAGAAAAAAGGAAAGUAGAGAGGAUGAAGGGAGCUUGCUCCUGGAUUCAGCGGCGGACGGGUGAGUAAUGCCUAGGAAUCUGCCUGGUAGUGGGGGAUAACGUCCGGAAACGGGCGCUAAUACCGCAUACGUCCUGAGGGAGAAAGUGGGGGAUCUUCGGACCUCACGCUAUCAGAUGAGCCUAGGUCGGAUUAGCUAGUUGGUGGGGUAAAGGCCUACCAAGGCGACGAUCCGUAACUGGUCUGAGAGGAUGAUCAGUCACACUGGAACUGAGACACGGUCCAGACUCCUACGGGAGGAAGCAGUGGGGAAUAUUGGACAAUGGGCGAAAGCCUGAUCCAGCCAUGCCGCGUGUGUGAAGAAGGGAUUCGGAUUGUAAAGCACUUUAAGUUGGGAGGAAGGGAAGUAAGUUAAUACCUUGCUGUUUUGACGUUACCAACAGAAUAAGCACCGGCUAACUUCGUA
This 484-nucleotide ribosomal RNA is filed under the name uncultured bacterium. Its description in RNAcentral is "partial 16S ribosomal RNA". It matches the Rfam family "Bacterial small subunit ribosomal RNA", at positions 30 to 507 of the family's 1533-position model. The record is from RNAcentral.